UUUUUUACGGUCCUUGAAGGGGACGUGGAACUGUGUGUAGAGAAAGACGAGACAAGCGGGAUGCUCGAAAGACAGCGAUAGUUAAAGUUCUUAUGUUUUAGAACUUUCAGCCAAGUUUUGUGCCAUGGUUUGUCGAUAAGAGAAGCCGUUGUGAGUGGGUGAUUAGUGGGAAAAGACAGUAGUUCCAAAGAGGAGCCGUGGACUGUGUUUUUGGCGCUAAUUACUAGCAUAUCGAGCUUAUAGCAAAACAACCUCGCUCGAAGAUGUCGCCCACACGGGGGGGAAUCACGGAGCUUGCAGGGGAUCGUUACCGAACUGGACAACGAGACAAGACGGACACCUGAUAGCACUCGGAGUGCCUCUGGCUACGUGGGAGACGGAGGGGAGAGGUUUUGGACCGGAAGGUACCGCGCACCUGUUCCGCCUUUGAAGUCACGCUGAAAACUGGGAGCACGCUUUGUUCGGGGAACACGAGGACGACACGGAGCUGGACAGGACACGUAAUUAACCCACUGGACACAAGGUACUCACGACGGAGAUUAAGGACACAGUGAUGAGGAUUGAUGAGGCCUUUUGAAAAGACGGAAUGCAAAUGACUUCCUUUUUCUAACCAGCAGGGGGAGCUAUUGCCAUAAAUAUAACGAGACAAAACAGAAUGGUAUAAAGAAAGAUGCAGAGAGUAGAAGAAGAGGAGCUAAAGGUGUCCUUCAGUCUUCAUCGCUGGACAGACAUUACCCUGACUAACCACAGCGUGAAGCAACAAACCCCACGUGGAGAAGAAGACGGUCGGCCAUCAUCAUCUAUACGGGAGUGGAGCGCAUGGCGAUGGUGUUGCCAUGGCGACGAGGCUCCGACUCGUGGAAGUAGGCGUAUGAGUGUGAAUCAGCUCUCCGUACCUGACUGUAAUCUUCACCGUCUGACUAUGUUCUGACCCUGCCAGUGUUUAUUUGCGGCGAGGGCGACCAUGCAGAGCCAAUCACCUGGCGAGGCCGCGCAUUUCGAGCAGAGGAGGAGGCGCAGGCCGGGCUAGGCUAUCUAGUCGUGCACAUUC
Molecule: long non-coding RNA, 1051 nt
Organism: Entelurus aequoreus (snake pipefish)
Lineage: Eukaryota; Metazoa; Chordata; Actinopteri; Syngnathiformes; Syngnathidae
Exons: 3
Source: RefSeq, a predicted model, not a curated record